This 497-nucleotide ribosomal RNA is filed under the name uncultured bacterium. RNAcentral describes it as "partial 16S ribosomal RNA". It matches the Rfam family "Bacterial small subunit ribosomal RNA", at positions 28 to 507 of the family's 1533-position model. The record is from RNAcentral.
GAUGAACGCUGGCGGCGUGCCUAAUACAUGCAAGUCGAGCGAACAGACGAGGAGCUUGCUCCUCUGACGUUAGCGGCGGACGGGUGAGCAACACGUGGAUAACCUACCUAUAAGACUGGGAUAACUUCGGGAAACCGGAGCUAGUACCGGAUAAUAUAUUGAACCGCAUGGUUCAAUAGUGAAAGACGGUUUUGCUGUCACUUAUAGAUGGAUCCGCGCCGCAUUAGCUAGUUGGUAAGGUAACGGCUUACCAAGGCAACGAUGCGUAGCCGACCUGAGAGGGUGAUCGGCCACACUGGAACUGAGACACGGUCCAGACUCCUACGGGAGGCAGCAGUAGGGAAUCUUCCGCAAUGGGCGAAAGCCUGACGGAGCAACGCCGCGUGAGUGAUGAAGGUCUUCGGAUCGUAAAACUCUGUUAUUAGGGAAGAACAAAUGUGUAAGUAACUAUGCACGUCUUGACGGUACCUAAUCAGAAAGCCACGGCUAACUACGUG